This is a long non-coding RNA of Rhea pennata, 1755 nucleotides long. RefSeq lists it as uncharacterized. The transcript is spliced from 2 exons. The record is from RefSeq and is a predicted model, not a curated record. Lineage: Eukaryota; Metazoa; Chordata; Aves; Rheiformes; Rheidae.
AAAGAUAAUUUUUUUUUUAUGGUUUGCCAUUUUUCCUGACAUUAUUUACCUUUCUCCCAAAAUAAAAUGGAAGAUUUAUGUUCAACAGUUCUUCAGAGUAAUAUAGGUAAAUUUGUCUUCAGGGUAUUUCCUGGAGGGAUAUGUCGUCAUCAGUUGCCAAAUAAAAUUCAUUCCUGCUGGUUGUUCCACUUCCCAAACAUCUGUCCGCUGGAAACUAUGCUGUUUCGCCUGAGUAGUUCCCAUUGCGGUCGUCCCAAUGAACAGAACCACGUGUGCAGUUAAGCAGAAAGGCUGUCUUAAUUUUCAAGAGUCAUCCAGGUCUGGUGAACCAAACUGCUGAGAAACUGCUUUCUGCUUUCUCCCUCCAUCACUUUUCAAGGAUGUUUGAAAACAACAUUGGAAACAAUUUUCCAGGAUGUCACAGAGUUCCUAUAUAAUUCUGGGAAUCUUAUAAAAGAAUUGCUCCAAUCAAGGGUAUAAAUCGUUAUGGUAUACUACGGGUAAAACCUCCAAAUGAAAUCCUUAAAACCUUCGGCUAACUUUACACAUAUAUACAACCUACAGGAGCCUUUGGUUUCACCAAUGAUGUUCCUCAGAAAACUCCUAGCUCAACAGGAACUGCUUGAAAUUCAGCAAAGGGAAAUGUGAAGUCCUGCACCGAAGGAGGAAUAACCCACCACACCAGUACACGCUGGGGGCUGACCAGCUGCAAAGCAGCUUUGCAGAGAAGGACUCUGAGGGUCCUAGUGGGCACCAAAUUGCACAGGAGCCAGCAAUAUGGCCUUGCACCAAAGGCCAACAGUCCGGAGGCUGCAUCACCAGCACACCAAGGGAUGUGAUCCUUCCCCUCUACUCUGCACUGGUCAGAAGUGGCCGCGCCAUUUCCGCUUUUAACCUGCAUAUCUAAUCACAUUAAACGUAAUCUUUGCAAUGACAUCACUGUGUUGUGACUUCUCAUGCCUUCUUGAUUUCCACUGCUAGUACAUGUACCCUUCGCUUUUUUCUCCCCUCUAGGUUAAUCUGGCCUAUUUAACAUCUUGCACUGUGCAAGAUAUCGUUAUAGGUGGAUCUUUGUGACUUACAUAAUAACAUAUUAUAUAUUCUUAAAGAAUAACAAAGCCAGAAAUUCAACAUCCACAAGUUUUAUUCUGGCAAUUGAGUAUAAACGCUUACUAUUUUAACUUGAUAUUAAAAUCUGUCAUGGAAGCUUUCAAAAUGCAUCUGUUAAUCAUUUUAGGUGAAUAUUUACCUUAAGUGUAUAUAUAUUUAAACAUCUUUUUAUUAAAGAAACCCAAGAAGACUAAAUUUGCUGGAUCAUUUUUUAUUAAUAAAUUCUUAAAGCCUAUAUUCCAAGAAAUUGCUAGGAGCAUUAACUCCUCCAUUGCCACCAGUAGGAAUAACUGAGGAUGCAUUUGCAAAACCUCAGCAGAUAAAUUGAAUUCACAUGUGGUAAAUUUCCUGUAUUAAUAUCUGCACAAGGAUGUUCUUGAAGUUGGCAGAGACAUAACAGCAAAAUGAAGCUGAUAUAAGUUCAAAAUGACCAAUGAUUUAAAAUGUGGAGAAAAUCAUAAGAAAACUUAUUUACAGAGACCUGCUUGCUACUGUUUAGAUUCUGCACAGCUAGUUACUCAUCAGCCUAAUAGAAAUGCUGACAUGUACAACCUUAACUCCUGUAUCACCCAGACAAUGCUCUAAUCAAAUUGAUUUGUGGUUGUUUCCUUGCGUGAAGAAAUAAAGUGGAUGUACUUUCCAAAA